Molecule: ribosomal RNA, 1425 nt
Filed under: metagenome
Description: bacterial SSU rRNA
Rfam family: Bacterial small subunit ribosomal RNA
Source: RNAcentral
UGAUGUUAGCGGCGGACGGGUGAGUAACACGUGGGUAACCUGCCUGUAAGACUGGGAUAACUCCGGGAAACCGGGGCUAAUACCGGAUGGUUGUUUGAACCGCAUGGUUCAAACAUAAAAGGUGGCUUCGGCUACCACUUGCAGAUGGACCCGCGGCGCAUUAGCUAGUUGGUGAGGUAAUGGCUCACCAAGGCAACGAUGCGUAGCCGACCUGAGAGGGUGAUCGGCCACACUGGGACUGAGACACGGCCCAGACUCCUACGGGAGGCAGCAGUAGGGAAUCUUCCGCAAUGGACGAAAGUCUGACGGAGCAACGCCGCGUGAGUGAUGAAGGUUUUCGGAUCGUAAAGCUCUGUUGUUAGGGAAGAACAAGUGCCGUUCGAAUAGGGCGGUACCUUGACGGUACCUAACCAGAAAGCCACGGCUAACUACGUGCCAGCAGCCGCGGUAAUACGUAGGUGGCAAGCGUUGUCCGGAAUUAUUGGGCGUAAAGGGCUCGCAGGCGGUUUCUUAAGUCUGAUGUGAAAGCCCCCGGCUCAACCGGGGAGGGUCAUUGGAAACUGGGGAACUUGAGUGCAGAAGAGGAGAGUGGAAUUCCACGUGUAGCGGUGAAAUGCGCAGAGAUGUGGAGGAACACCAGUGGCGAAGGCGACUCUCUGGUCUGUAACUGACGCUGAGGAGCGAAAGCGUGGGGAGCGAACAGGAUUAGAUACCCUGGUAGUCCACGCCGUAAACGAUGAGUGCUAAGUGUUAGGGGGUUUCCGCCCCUUAGUGCUGCAGCUAACGCAUUAAGCACUCCGCCUGGGGAGUACGGUCGCAAGACUGAAACUCAAAGGAAUUGACGGGGGCCCGCACAAGCGGUGGAGCAUGUGGUUUAAUUCGAAGCAACGCGAAGAACCUUACCAGGUCUUGACAUCCUCUGACAAUCCUAGAGAUAGGACGUCCCCUUCGGGGGCAGAGUGACAGGUGGUGCAUGGUUGUCGUCAGCUCGUGUCGUGAGAUGUUGGGUUAAGUCCCGCAACGAGCGCAACCCUUGAUCUUAGUUGCCAGCAUUCAGUUGGGCACUCUAAGGUGACUGCCGGUGACAAACCGGAGGAAGGUGGGGAUGACGUCAAAUCAUCAUGCCCCUUAUGACCUGGGCUACACACGUGCUACAAUGGACAGAACAAAGGGCAGCGAAACCGCGAGGUUAAGCCAAUCCCACAAAUCUGUUCUCAGUUCGGAUCGCAGUCUGCAACUCGACUGCGUGAAGCUGGAAUCGCUAGUAAUCGCGGAUCAGCAUGCCGCGGUGAAUGCGUUCCCGGGCCUUGUACACACCGCCCGUCACACCACGAGAGUUUGUAACACCCGAAGUCGGUGAGGUAACCUUUUAGGAGCCAGCCGCCGAAGGUGGGACAGAUGAUUGGGGUGAAGUCGUAACAAGGU